RNAcentral lists this ribosomal RNA (497 nucleotides) under uncultured bacterium. RNAcentral's name for it is "partial 16S ribosomal RNA". It matches the Rfam family "Bacterial small subunit ribosomal RNA", at positions 28 to 507 of the family's 1533-position model. The record is from RNAcentral.
GAUGAACGCUGGCGGCGUGCCUAAUACAUGCAAGUCGAGCGAACAGACGAGGAGCUUGCUCCUCUGACGUUAGCGGCGGACGGGUGAGUAACACGUGGAUAACCUACCUAUAAGACUGGGAUAACUUCGGGAAACCGGAGCUAAUACCGGAUAAUAUAUUGAACCGCAUGGUUCAAUAGUGAAAGACGGUUUUGCUGUCACUUAUAGAUGGAUCCGCGCCGCAUUAGCUAGUUGGUAAGGUAACGGCUUACCAAGGCAACGAUGCGUAGCCGACCUGAGAGGGUGGUCGGCCACAAUGGAACUGAGACAAGGGCCAGACUCCUAAGGGAGGCAGCAGUAGGGAAUCUUCCGCAAUGGGCGAAAGCCUGACGGAGCAACGCCGCGUGAGUGAUGAAGGUCUUCGGAUCGUAAAACUCUGUUAUUAGGGAAGAACAAAUGUGUAAGUAACUAUGCACGUCUUGACGGUACCUAAUCAGAAAGCCACGGCUAACUACGUG